GGUAUGGCGGGGGCGGUGGCGGGGGUAAUACGGGGGGGGAAAGGGGUAAUGGGAAGUGCGGGGGGGAAGGGGAAGGCAGGGGGUUGGUGAAGUUAGAUGUGAAAGCCCCGGGCUCAACUGGGGAAUUGCAGUUAAAACUGUGCAGUGAGAGGCUGGGAGAGGGGGGUAGAAUUCCAGGUGUAGCGGUGAAAUGCGUAGAGAUCUGGAGGAAUACCGGUGGCGAAGGCGGCCCCCUGGACAAAGACUGACGCUCAGGUGCGAAAGCGUGGGGAGCAAACAGGAUUAGAUACCCCUGUAGUC
This 300-nucleotide ribosomal RNA is filed under the name uncultured Desulfovirga sp. RNAcentral describes it as "partial 16S ribosomal RNA". The stretch from base 67 to 300 matches the Rfam family "Bacterial small subunit ribosomal RNA", at positions 562 to 795 of the family's 1533-position model. Lineage: Bacteria; Pseudomonadati; Thermodesulfobacteriota; Syntrophobacteria; Syntrophobacterales; Syntrophobacteraceae. The record is from RNAcentral.